GAUGAACGCUGGCGGCGUGCCUAAUACAUGCAGGUCGAGCGAACAGACGAGGAGCUUGCUCCUCUGACGUUAGCGGCGGACGGGUGAGUAACACGUGGAUAACCUACCUAUAAGACUGGGAUAACUUCGGGAAACCGGAGCUAAUACCGGAUAAUAUAUUGAACCGCAUGGUUCAAUAGUGAAAGACGGUUUUGCUGUCACUUAUAGAUGGAUCCGCGCCGCAUUAGCUAGUUGGUAAGGUAACGGCUUACCAAGGCGACGAUGCGUAGCCGACCUGAGAGGGUGAUCGGCCACACUGGAACUGAGACACGGUCCAGACUCCUACGGGAGGCAGCAGUAGGGAAUCUUCCGCAAUGGGCGAAAGCCUGACGGAGCAACGCCGUGUGAGUGAUGAAGGUCUUCGGAUCGUAAAACUCUGUUAUUAGGGAAGAACAAAUGUGUAAGUAACUAUGCACGUCUUGACGGUACCUAAUCAGAAAGCCACGGCUAACUACGUG
RNAcentral lists this ribosomal RNA (497 nucleotides) under uncultured bacterium. RNAcentral's name for it is "partial 16S ribosomal RNA". It matches the Rfam family "Bacterial small subunit ribosomal RNA", at positions 28 to 507 of the family's 1533-position model. The record is from RNAcentral.